Molecule: long non-coding RNA, 365 nt
Organism: Pipistrellus kuhlii (Kuhl's pipistrelle)
Lineage: Eukaryota; Metazoa; Chordata; Mammalia; Chiroptera; Vespertilionidae
Exons: 2
Source: RefSeq, a predicted model, not a curated record
CCUUGACCGGAAUCGAACCCGGGACCCUUCAGUCCGCAGACCGACGCUCUUAUCCACUGAGCCAAACCAGUUUCGGCUGCCUUUUAGUUUUAAGUUACUGCAACUCGGUGACCCUCUUAGGGUCAUUCAUUUCACACACCAGUACAUUCCUGUGUUUAAUUGAAAUGUACUGAGGAAAGGCGGUGUUGGCAAGGACACUGACUUCUCCGAAACGGUGAGCUGUUUGAGUCCUGGCCCUGACACUUGACCUUGGCCAGACUUCUGCCUUUUGUCAGUCCCUACCUUCCCUACCUUGCUAGGUGGUUGUGAGAGCUUAGCACGCACGCGAGCACUUUGCUGUUAAACCAUAAAGUGUAAUAUCUCUA